AUUGAACGCUGGCGGCAUGCCUUACACAUGCAAGUCGAACGGCAGCACGGGUGCUUGCACCUGGUGGCGAGUGGCGAACGGGUGAGUAAUACAUCGGAACAUGUCCUGUAGUGGGGGAUAGCCCGGCGAAAGCCGGAUUAAUACCGCAUACGAUCUCCGGAUGAAAGCGGGGGACCUUCGGGCCUCGCGCUAUCGGGUUGGCCGAUGGCUGAUUAGCUAGUUGGUGGGGUAAAGGCCUACCAAGGCGACGAUCAGUAGCUGGUCUGAGAGGACGACCAGCCACACUGGGACUGAGACACGGCCCAGACUCCUACGGGAGGCAGCAGUGGGGAAUUUUGGACAAUGGGCGAAAGCCUGAUCCAGCAAUGCCGCGUGUGUGAAGAAGGCCUUCGGGUUGUAAAGCACUUUUGUCCGGAAAGAAAUCCUUGGCUCUAAUACAGUCGGGGGAUGACGGUACCGGAAGAAUAAGCACCGGCUAACUACGUG
This 486-nucleotide ribosomal RNA is filed under the name uncultured bacterium. RNAcentral's name for it is "partial 16S ribosomal RNA". It matches the Rfam family "Bacterial small subunit ribosomal RNA", at positions 30 to 507 of the family's 1533-position model. The record is from RNAcentral.